RNAcentral lists this transfer RNA (76 nucleotides) under Nocardioides currus. RNAcentral describes it as "tRNA-Lys". It matches the Rfam family "tRNA". Rfam says of the family: Transfer RNA (tRNA) molecules are approximately 80 nucleotides in length. Their secondary structure includes four short double-helical elements and three loops (D, anti-codon, and T loops). Lineage: Bacteria; Bacillati; Actinomycetota; Actinomycetes; Propionibacteriales; Nocardioidaceae. RNAcentral also lists the same sequence under 1 other name. The record is from RNAcentral.
GGGCCCUUAGCUCAGUUGGUAGAGCGUCGGACUUUUAAUCCGCUGGUCGUCGGUUCGAGCCCGACAGGGCCUACCA